RNAcentral lists this ribosomal RNA (966 nucleotides) under Salmonella enterica subsp. enterica serovar Enteritidis. RNAcentral's name for it is "partial 23S ribosomal RNA". It matches the Rfam family "Bacterial large subunit ribosomal RNA", at positions 161 to 1167 of the family's 2925-position model. The record is from RNAcentral. Lineage: Bacteria; Pseudomonadati; Pseudomonadota; Gammaproteobacteria; Enterobacterales; Enterobacteriaceae.
AAUCCAUAGGUUAAUGAGGCGAACCGGGGGAACUGAAACAUCUAAGUACCCCGAGGAAAAGAAAUCAACCGAGAUUCCCCCAGUAGCGGCGAGCGAACGGGGAGGAGCCCAGAGCCUGAAUCAGCAUGUGUGUUAGUGGAAGCGUCUGGAAAGGCGCGCGAUACAGGGUGACAGCCCCGUACACAAAAGCGCAUGUGCUGUGAGCUCGAUGAGUAGGGCGGGACACGUGGUAUCCUGUCUGAAUAUGGGGGGACCAUCCUCCAAGGCUAAAUACUCCUGACUGACCGAUAGUGAACCAGUACCGUGAGGGAAAGGCGAAAAGAACCCCGGCGAGGGGAGUGAAAAAGAACCUGAAACCGUGUACGUACAAGCAGUGGGAGCACCCUUUGGGUGUGACUGCGUACCUUUUGUAUAAUGGGUCAGCGACUUAUAUUCUGUAGCAAGGUUAACCGAAUAGGGGAGCCGGAGGGAAACCGAGUCUUAACCGGGCGUUAAGUUGCAGGGUAUAGACCCGAAACCCGGUGAUCUAGCCAUGGGCAGGUUGAAGGUUGGGUAACACUAACUGGAGGACCGAACCGACUAAUGUUGAAAAAUUAGCGGAUGACCUGUGGCUGGGGGUGAAAGGCCAAUCAAACCGGGAGAUAGCUGGUUCUCCCCGAAAGCUAUUUAGGUAGCGCCUCGUGAAUUCAUCUCCGGGGGUAGAGCACUGUUUCGGCUAGGGGGCCAUCCCGGCUUACCAACCCGAUGCAAACUGCGAAUACCGGAGAAUGUUAUCACGGGAGACACACGGCGGGUGCUAACGUCCGUCGUGAAGAGGGAAACAACCCAGACCGCCAGCUAAGGUCCCAAAGUCAUGGUUAAGUGGGAAACGAUGUGGGAAGGCCCAGACAGCCAGGAUGUUGGCUUAGAAGCAGCCAUCAUUUAAAGAAAGCGUAAUAGCUCACUGGUCGAGUCGGCCUGCGCGGA